UGACCCCAUGCCGAACUCAGAAGUGAAACGCCGUAGCGCCGAUGGUAGUGUGGGGUUUCCCCAUGUGAGAGUAGGGAACUGCCAGGC
Molecule: ribosomal RNA, 87 nt
Filed under: Pectobacterium parmentieri
Lineage: Bacteria; Pseudomonadati; Pseudomonadota; Gammaproteobacteria; Enterobacterales; Pectobacteriaceae
Also listed under: 1 other name
Source: RNAcentral